This 721-nucleotide ribosomal RNA is filed under the name Septoglomus constrictum. Its description in RNAcentral is "SSU rRNA". It matches the Rfam family "Eukaryotic small subunit ribosomal RNA", at positions 379 to 1104 of the family's 1831-position model. Lineage: Eukaryota; Fungi; Glomeromycota; Glomeromycetes; Glomerales; Glomeraceae. The record is from RNAcentral.
GACACCGGAGAGGGAGCCUGAGAAACGGCUACCACAUCCAAGGAAGGCAGCAGGCGCGCAAAUUACCCAAUCCCGACACGGGGAGGUAGUGACAAUAAAUAACAAUACAGGGUUCUUUUGGAUCUUGUAAUUGGAAUGAGUACAAUUUAAAUCUCUUAACGAGGAACAAUUGGAGGGCAAGUCUGGUGCCAGCAGCCGCGGUAAUUCCAGCUCCAAUAGCGUAUAUUAAAGUUGUUGCAGUUAAAAAGCUCGUAGUUGAACUUCGGGAUCAAGGAAUCGGUCAUGCCUUGGUAUGUACUGGUUUUAUUGGUUCUCACCUUCUAAAGAACCAUAAUGUCAUUCAUUUGAUGUUAUGGGGAAUUAGGACUGUUACCUUGAAAAAAUUAGAGUGUUUAAAGCAAGCUUACGCUUGAAUACAUUAGCAUGGAAUAAUGAAAUAGGACAUCCGAUUCUAUUUUGUUGGUUUCUAGGAUCGAUGUAAUGAUUAAUAGGGAUAGUUGGGGGCAUUAGUAUUCAAUUGUCAGAGGUGAAAUUCUUGGAUUUAUUGAAGACUAACUACUGCGAAAGCAUUUGCCAAGGAUGUUUUCAUUAAUCAAGAACGAAAGUUAGGGGAUCGAAGACGAUCAGAUACCGUCGUAGUCUUAACCAUAAACUAUGCCGACUAGGGAUCGGAUGAUGUUAAUUUUAUAAUGACUCAUUCGGCACCUUACGGGAACAAGGU